GAGAUAGAGCAAGAGGUAAGAGAAAAAGAGAGAUAGAGCGAGAGGUAAGAGACAAAGAGAGAGAGAGCGAGAGGUAAGAGACAAAGGGAGAUAGAGCGAGAGGUAAGAGACCAAAAGAGAGAGCGAGAGGUAAGAGAGAGAGCGAGAGGUAAGAGACAAAGAGAGAGAGCAAGAGGUAAGAGACAAAGCGAGAGAUGAGAGACAAAGGUAAGAGACAGAGAGCGAGAGGUAAGAGACAAAAAGAGAGAGCGAGAGGUCAGAGACAAAGAGAGAGCGAGAGGUAAGAGAGAGAGCGAGAGGUAAGAGACAAAGAGAGAGAGCGAGAGGUGAGAGACAAAGAGAGAGAGCGAGAGGUAAGUGACAAAGAGAGAGAGCGAGAGGUAAGUGACAAAGAGAGAGAGCGAGAGAGGUAAGAGACAAAGAGAGAGCAAGAUGUAAGAGACAAAGAGAGAGCAAGAUGUAAGAGAGAGAGAGAGUGAGAGAGAGAGGUAAGAGACAAAGAGAGAUAGAGGGAGAGGUAAGAGACAAAGAGAGAUAGAGCGAGGGGUAAGAGACAAAGUUAGAUAAAGCGAGCAAGAGGUAAGAGACAAAGAUAGAUAGAGAGAGCGAGAGGUAAGAGACAAAGCGAGAGAGCGAGAGGUCAGAGACAAAGAGAGAGAGCGAGAGGUAAGUGACAAAGAGAGAGAGCGAGAGGUAAGUGACAAAGAGAGAGAGCGAGAGGUAAGUGACAAAGAGAGAGAGCGAGAGGUAAGUGACAAAUACAGAGAGCAAGAGGUAAGAGACAAAGAGAGGGAGCAAGAUGUAAGAGAGAGAGAGAGAGAUGUAAGAGAGAGAGAGAGAGGUAAGAGACAAAGAGAGAUAGAGCAAGAGAUAAGAGAAAAAGAGAGAUAGAGCGAGAGGUAAGAGACAAAGGGAGAGAGAGAGGUAAGAGCAAAGGGAGAUUGAGCGACAGGUAAGAGACAAAGAGAGAUAGAGCGACAGGUAAGAGACAAAGAGAGAUAGAGCGAGAGGUAAGA
This 1016-nucleotide long non-coding RNA is filed under the name Salmo salar (Atlantic salmon). RNAcentral describes it as "lncRNA (ENSSSAG00000091103.1)". Lineage: Eukaryota; Metazoa; Chordata; Actinopteri; Salmoniformes; Salmonidae. The record is from RNAcentral.